Molecule: ribosomal RNA, 305 nt
Filed under: uncultured bacterium
Lineage: Bacteria
Description: partial 16S ribosomal RNA
Rfam family: Bacterial small subunit ribosomal RNA
Source: RNAcentral
UCCUACGGGGGGCAGCAGUGGGGGAUAUUGCACAAUGGGGGGAACCCUGAUGCAGCGACGCCGCGUGGGUGAAGGAGUGCUUCGGCAUGUAAAGCCCUAUCGGCAGGGAAGAAGCAAGACGGUACCUGACUAAGAAGCCCCGGCUAACUACGUGCCAGCAGCCGCGGUAAUACGUAGGGGGCGAGCGUUGUCCGGAUUCACUGGGUGGAAAGGGAGCGUAGACGGCCAUGCAAGCCAGGGGUGGAAGCCCGGGGCCCAACCCCGGGACUGCCCUUGGAACUUUGCGGCUUGAGUGCGGGAGGGGG